CCCUCUUCUUUUUUUCAAUCUCGUCGCUUAUAUCCUUACCAGAAAUUAGACCUGUUUUACUAGCUGGCUUUGAUGAAUCCUUAGUAUUUUUCCUUGGUGGAGAUAGGUCAGGAUCCAAAGAUGGAUGUGAACCAACUUUAACUGAAAUACUGGACGAACCCAGUCUUCCGACAUUCUUCUGAACUUUCCUUGGGGGUGAAAGGUCUGACACUACAGAUCCAUGUAAAGCAUCUUGAGAAGGAGAAUCAUGACGACCACGUCGAGGUGGAGAUAGAUCUUGAGGUGAAUGGUGGCGAGAAUCAGAAAAACCAGAUCUUGCAACAUUCUUUUGGAUUCUCCUUGGGGGUGAAAGGUCAGGUGCCACGGAUCCACGCAAAACAUCUUGAGAUGGAGAAUCAUGACGACUCCGUCUAGGUGGAGAGAUAUCUUGCAAAUCAGAAGUCUCAUAACCGUGUCGGUCUCGUUGUGAUGGAGAGAAAUCUUCAGGUGAACGAAUACCAGAAACAUCAGGCAAACCAGUUCUUGCAGCAUUGUUCAAGUUUUUCCUUGGGGGUGAAAUGUCUGAUGCCACAGAUCCACGUGAAAAAUCUUGAGGGGGAGAAUCAUGACGACGUCGUCGAGGGGGAGAGAUGUCUUGCAAAUCUGAAGUCCUAUAAUCUGGUGAUGGGGUGUCAUUGCGUCUCAACUGCUGACCAGGUGAUAAAUCAGCACUUUUUCUUUUACGGGGAGGAGACAUAUCAAUGUUUGAGUCGAUAAAAUCAUCAGGUUUAGAGGAAAGUGAAACCCAACCACUUCCAUCCUCAGAUAUAGCAUGAUAAGGACGUCUCGCCCUCAGCUGCUCAAGCCUCUUCAUACGCUUCACAUCAAUGUCUUCAUCAACUAGUGGUUUCUCUUCG
This 896-nucleotide long non-coding RNA is filed under the name Vigna radiata. Its description in RNAcentral is "long non-coding RNA (VRAD_LNC009557)". The record is from RNAcentral. Lineage: Eukaryota; Viridiplantae; Streptophyta; Magnoliopsida; Fabales; Fabaceae.